GGGUCUUGGGAUAUUUGGGGUUAAGCGUCCUUGGGUUUGAAUAGUACUGGGAUGGGUGACCUCUCGGGAAGUCCAAACUCAGGAGCUU
Non-coding RNA from Selaginella moellendorffii, 88 nucleotides. The record is from Rfam. NCBI's taxonomy places the organism in Eukaryota, Viridiplantae, Streptophyta, Lycopodiopsida, Selaginellales, Selaginellaceae.